RNAcentral lists this unclassified non-coding RNA (378 nucleotides) under uncultured Chlamydiales bacterium. RNAcentral describes it as "contains 16S-23S intergenic spacer region". Lineage: Bacteria; Pseudomonadati; Chlamydiota; Chlamydiia; Chlamydiales. The record is from RNAcentral.
UCCUGGUUAACCCAGGCAGUCUCACUAGAGUUCCCACCUUAUAGUGUUGGCAACUAGUGAUAAGGGUUGCGCUCGUUGCGGGACUUAACCCAACACCUCACGGCACGAGCUGACGACAGCCAUGCAGCACCUGUUCAGCAGCCCUUGCGGGAAAAUGUAUCUCUACAUCGGUCUCCUGUAUGUCAAGUCUGGGUAAGGUUCUUCGCGUUGCAUCGAAUUAAACCACAUGCUCCACUGCUUGUGCGGGCCCCCGUCAAUUCUUUUAAGUUUCACCCUUGCGAGUGUACUCCCCAGGCGGUAUACUUAUCGCGUUAGCUACGAUACAGUCGGGGUUGAAUCCAACUACACCAAGUAUACAUCGUUUACGGCAAGGACUAC